This 253-nucleotide ribosomal RNA is filed under the name uncultured bacterium. RNAcentral's name for it is "partial 16S ribosomal RNA". It matches the Rfam family "Bacterial small subunit ribosomal RNA", at positions 524 to 776 of the family's 1533-position model. The record is from RNAcentral.
GACAGAGGCCUCGAGCGUUAGGCGGAAUCACUGGGCUUAAAGCGUGUGUAGGCGGGCCCGUAAGUGUCUUGUGAAAUCCCACGGCUUAACCGUGGAACUGCUUGGUAUACUGGCUGUCUUGAGCCACUUAGGGGCGACCGGAACAAACGGUGGAGCGGUGAAAUGCGUAGAUAUCGUUUGGAACGCCAAAGGUGAAAACAGGUCGCUGGGAGUGUGCUGACGCUGAGACACGAAAGCCAGGGGAGCAAACGGG